RNAcentral lists this ribosomal RNA (439 nucleotides) under uncultured bacterium. RNAcentral's name for it is "bacterial SSU rRNA". It matches the Rfam family "Bacterial small subunit ribosomal RNA", at positions 917 to 1344 of the family's 1533-position model. The record is from RNAcentral.
GGACCCGCACAAGUAGUGGAGCAUGUGGUUUAAUUCGAAGAUACGCGCAGAACCUUACCAACACUUGACAUGUUCGUCGCGACUUUAAGAGAUUAAAGUUUUCGGUUCGGCCGGACGAAACACAGGUGCUGCAUGGCUGUCGUCAGCUCGUGUCGUGAGAUGUUGGGUUAAGUCCCGCAACGAGCGCAACCCUCACUUUUAGUUGCCAUCAUUAAGUUGGGCACUCUGAAAGAACUGCCAGUGAUAAGCUGGAGGAAGGUGGGGAUGACGUCAAGUCCUCAUGGCCCUUACGUGUUGGGCUACACACGUGCUACAAUGGUAUCUACAACAGGAAGCAAAACGGCGACGUUAAGCAAAUCCUAGCCAAUCUCUAAAAUGUACCUCAGUUCGGAUUGUACUCUGUAACUCGAGUGCAUGAAGCUGGAAUUGCUAGUAAUCG